Ornithorhynchus anatinus (platypus) is the source of this 590-nucleotide non-coding RNA. Lineage: Eukaryota; Metazoa; Chordata; Mammalia; Monotremata; Ornithorhynchidae. The record is from the annotation of a RefSeq genome assembly.
AUGGGCCCCGGGCCAGUGUGGUUGGUGGCCGUUUGCGUCCUGGGAGCAGGCCCCGCGGACGCCGGAGUCACCCAGACUCCCAGAUCCCUGGUCACCGAACAGGGACAGAACGUGACCCUGAACUGUGAGCAGGACCUGAACCACGAUGUCAUGUACUGGUACCGACAAGACCCUCAACAGGUGCUGCAGCUCAUCUAUUACUCCGUUGGAAUAGGAGACAAGAUCAAGGGUGAAGCCACAGGAGAAUUUGAUGUCAUCCGGAAAGAAACACGGAGUUUCUUCCUUAAAAUCUUCUCCCUGAAGACGACAGAAUCUUGGCUGUAUUUCUGCGGGAGUAGUUUAACCACAGUGCUGCUUCAUCCCUUCCUUCACGUACACGAACCUCCCCCGGCCCGGAAAAGGAAGCAGGAGGCCGGGCCCGGGAGAAGGCCUAGAGACCUAGCUCAGCCUCCAACUCGCUGGACAAGGACUGGACAUCCUGGUGUUCUGGGACCAGCUGGAGGGCAGGGCUGGGGCAGAGACACAGUCACUCCCGACUUGGAUGUCGAGGAAAAGCAGCAUGGCUCAGUGGAAUGAGCACGGGCUUGGGA